This 384-nucleotide long non-coding RNA is filed under the name Nicotiana benthamiana. RNAcentral's name for it is "long non-coding RNA (NBEN_LNC018929)". The record is from RNAcentral. Lineage: Eukaryota; Viridiplantae; Streptophyta; Magnoliopsida; Solanales; Solanaceae.
UGCAUAUUGACUCCAGCAAUUUAACAACCUUUGAAGGCAUGAUAAAUAAUUGAGCCCAGUAAGCUUGAACACCAAAUAUAACUGAUUGCACCAACUAGCUUCUGCCUGCAUAGGAUAGAUAUCUAGCUGCCCAGGAAGUAAUUCUAGCAGAAAUCCUAUCAACCAGAGGUUGCCAUUGAGCAACUGUCAGCUUUUUGGUAGUUAAAGGUACUCCCAAAUAUUUGAAAGGGAUAUCCCCUCUAACAUAACCAAGCUGAUCAAGAAUUUGUUGUUGAAUCACAGGAGAAACCCCACCAAAAUACACAGCACUUUUAUGUAAAUUUGCUUUAAGACCAGUAGCUGCAAGGAACUGAGAGAAAAAUAAGAACAUAGAACUUACUGACN